This 749-nucleotide ribosomal RNA is filed under the name uncultured Sulfurimonas sp. RNAcentral's name for it is "bacterial SSU rRNA". It matches the Rfam family "Bacterial small subunit ribosomal RNA", at positions 97 to 866 of the family's 1533-position model. Lineage: Bacteria; Pseudomonadati; Campylobacterota; Epsilonproteobacteria; Campylobacterales; Sulfurimonadaceae. The record is from RNAcentral.
GGCGGACGGGUGAGUAAUAUAUAGAUAACGUGCCUCUUAGUCUGGGAUAGCCAUUGGAAACGAUGAUUAAUACUAGAUACUCCUUCUUAUCACAUGAUAAGUCGGGAAAGUUUUUUCGCUAAGAGAUCGGUCUAUAUCGCAUCAGUUAGUUGGUGGGGUAACGGCCUACCAAGACAAUGACGCGUAGCGGGUUUGAGAGGAUGAUCCGCCACACUGGUACUGAGACACGGACCAGACUCCUACGGGAGGCAGCAGUGAGGAAUAUUGCACAAUGGGGGAAACCCUGAUGCAGCAACGCCGCGUGGAGGAUGACGCAUUUCGGUGUGUAAACUCCUUUUAUGAGUCAAGAAAAUGACGGUAGCUCAUGAAUAAGCAGCGGCUAACUCCGUGCCAGCAGCCGCGGUAAUACGGAGGGUGCAAGCGUUACUCGGAAUCACUGGGCGUAAAGGACGCGUAGGCGGGUUAUCAAGUCAGGUGUGAAAUCCUAUGGCUCAACCAUAGAACUGCACUUGAAACUGGUAACCUAGAGUAUGGGAGGGGCAGAUGGAAUUAGUAGUGUAGGGGUAAAAUCCGUAGAUAUUACUAGGAAUACCGAAAGCGAAGGCGAUCUGCUGGAACAUUACUGACGCUAAGGCGUGAAAGCGUGGGGAGCAAACGGGAUUAGAUACCCCGGUAGUCCACGCCCUAAACGAUGAACACUAGUCGUCGGGGAGCUAGUCUCUUCGGUGAUGCACUUAACAGAUUAAGUG